This 497-nucleotide ribosomal RNA is filed under the name uncultured bacterium. RNAcentral's name for it is "partial 16S ribosomal RNA". It matches the Rfam family "Bacterial small subunit ribosomal RNA", at positions 28 to 507 of the family's 1533-position model. The record is from RNAcentral.
GACGAACGCUGGCGGCGUGCCUAAUACAUGCAAGUCGAGCGAUCAGACGAGGAGCUUGUUCCUCUGACGUUAGCGGCGGCCAGGUGAGUAAUACGUGGAUAACAUACCUCUACGACUGUGUUAACUACGGGAAAACGGAGCUACUACCGGAUAAUAUAUUGAGUCGCAUGGUUCAUUAGUGUAAGAAGGUUUUGCUGUCACUUAUGGAUGGAUCCGCGCCGCAUUAGCUAGUUGGUAAGGUAACGGCUUACCAAGGCAACGAUGCGUAGCCGACCUGAGAGGAGGAUCGACCACACUGCUGCUAAGGCGCGGUGGAGACUCCUACUAGGGGAAGCAGUAGUGAGUCUUCCUGAAUAGUGGGAAGCUGGACGGAGCAACGCCGCGGGGUGGAGGAAGGUCGUCUGAGCGUUAUACACUGUUAUUGGGAAUGAAGAAAUGUUUAAUUGUUUGUGCACGUCUUGACGGUAGCUAGUCAGAAAGCCACGGCUAACUACGUG